GCAUCUGUGGCCGAGUGGCUGAAGGCAACGGACUCAUAAUCCGUCGACAGAAUUGUCAUCGCUGGUUCGAAUCCAGCCGGAUGCA
This 85-nucleotide transfer RNA is filed under the name Sciadococcus taiwanensis. RNAcentral describes it as "tRNA-Met". It matches the Rfam family "tRNA". Rfam says of the family: Transfer RNA (tRNA) molecules are approximately 80 nucleotides in length. Their secondary structure includes four short double-helical elements and three loops (D, anti-codon, and T loops). The record is from RNAcentral. Lineage: Eukaryota; Rhodophyta; Bangiophyceae; Cavernulicolales; Cavernulicolaceae.